AUGGGCUCGCGGCCUAUCAGCUUGUUGGUGAGGUAAUGGCUCACCAAGGCGUCGACGGGUAGCCGGCCUGAGAGGGUGACCGGCCACACUGGGACUGAGACACGGCCCAGACUCCUACGGGAGGCAGCAGUGGGGAAUAUUGCACAAUGGGCGCAAGCCUGAUGCAGCAACGCCGCGUGAGGGAUGACGGCCUUCGGGUUGUAAACCUCUUUUGGUAGGGAAGAAGCCUUCGGGUGACGGUACCUGCAGAAAAAGCGCCGGCUAACUACGUGCCAGCAGCCGCGGUAAUACGUAGGGCGCAAGCGUUAUCCGGAAUUAUUGGGCGUAAAGAGCUCGUAGGCGGUCUGUCGCGUCUGCUGUGAAAUUCCGAGGCUCAACCUCGGGCUUGCAGUGGGUACGGGCAGACUAGAGUGCGGUAGGGGAGAUUGGAAUUCCUGGUGUAGCGGUGGAAUGCGCAGAUAUCAGGAGGAACACCGAUGGCGAAGGCAGAUCUCUGGGCCGUUACUGACGCUGAGGAGCGAAAGGGUGGGGAGCAAACAGGCUUAGAUACCCUGGUAGUCCACCCCGUAAACGUUGGGAACUAGUUGUGGGGUCCUUUCCACGGAUUCCGUGACGUAGCUAACGCAUUAAGUUCCCCGCCUGGGGAGUACGGCCGCAAGGCUAAAACUCAAAGGAAUUGACGGGGACCCGCACAAGCGGCGGAGCAUGCGGAUUAAUUCGAUGCAACGCGAAGAACCUUACCAAGGCUUGACAUACACCAGAACGGGCCAGAAAUGGUCAACUCUUUGGACACUGGUGAACAGGUGGUGCAUGGUUGUCGUCAGCUCGUGUCGUGAGAUGUUGGGUUAAGUCCCGCAACGAGCGCAACCCUCGUUCUAUGUUGCCAGCACGUUAUGGUGGGAACUCAUGGGAUACUGCCGGGGUCAACUCGGAGGAAGGUGGGGAUGACGUCAAAUCAUCAUGCCCCUUAUGUCUUGGGCUUCACGCAUGCUACAAUGGCCGGUACAAUGGGCUGCGAUACCGCGAGGUGGAGCGAAUCCCAAAAAGCCGGUC
RNAcentral lists this ribosomal RNA (1053 nucleotides) under Microbacterium aquimaris. RNAcentral describes it as "bacterial SSU rRNA". It matches the Rfam family "Bacterial small subunit ribosomal RNA", at positions 225 to 1287 of the family's 1533-position model. Lineage: Bacteria; Bacillati; Actinomycetota; Actinomycetes; Micrococcales; Microbacteriaceae. The record is from RNAcentral.